This 1212-nucleotide long non-coding RNA is filed under the name Coturnix japonica (Japanese quail). RNAcentral's name for it is "lncRNA (ENSCJPG00005003417.1)". Lineage: Eukaryota; Metazoa; Chordata; Aves; Galliformes; Phasianidae. The record is from RNAcentral.
AAUGACCAUUGAGCAGAUGUAGCUCUGCUUGCUACAACUCUUUGAGCUCUACUUUUGAGUCAGUCCAUCACCCAGCAAAGCAGGAAGCUGCCUGAAGUGAAUCAUGUUUGGACCCCCAGACUUCAGGAAGUUAAGCUGAUACAGCUGUUCCCUUACAAUAUUGGUGACCACAGAAAUCACUUUUCCUUUAUUCGUGGUCCUUCAACUCAGGAAUGGGCAGCAUAAGAUCUGUUAUAAUCUGAUUAUGUUUUAAUACAGUAUUAAAAACUUUUAAUAAGUAUUAAAAACAGAGGCAAAAAUGGAAUAAAUUGCAUUUACUUUUUCCUCAUUCUUCUCUUUUAGGUGAAGAUUUCUUUCAAGUAUCAGACCAGCAUUUUCCUUUGAUCACCUCUUUCUAUUUACAAACUUGAAAAAGCCUUUUGUUGUCGUUGUUGUCUGUCUGAGAUCAUACUGGCCAGCAUCAACUCAAACUAAGCUUUGGCUUUUCUUCUUUUCUCCCUGUAGAAACAAACUGCCACUGUGUACUCUCCUUGUGAAGCCAGAUCGUGCCCCUGAAGGUCAAGAUUUCUUUUUCUGACCUGGUUCCUGGUUCCCCGUUCACCAGGCCAGCCUUUUACCUCACUUAGCUUGACUUGUGGCACAACGGGAUUGACUGCUCCUUGGUUUUUAAAAGGCAAUUCUUGAAAAGCAACCAGCUAUCAUGGAAGAUGAGAGACUGGAGUAAAGUCUCAGGUAAUGCAGUAUCCAUAUGGGCCAGCCUGGUUCCUGGGAAGAAGUAACACCACCCCUUAGAUAAAACUCUUAAUCAGAAAAACUGAAAACCUUACAGCUGAAGGAACAAGUCAGAAUUUAUGCUACUACAUGGGAUUAAGCAGAUGAUCUUUGCUGCAGAAGAAGAUUACACUACAAAGUUCUAAUUUGUUUUUUAUUUUUAAAUUCCCUGACACUCUUCAGAGAAAAACACUUGGUCUGCAAGAGGAAAGAGCUCAUAUCCACUCAGAAAUAAAAGAGACCUCAAAUAGUAAGAAAAUCCAUACUUCCUUUGAAACACUGGACAAGCUCUGGAGGCAACUUUUGAGCAACUGGGAACAGAAUUGGAUGGCAACUGUAACUCUCUAUAUGGGAAUGAAUUACUGUAAGAAUUUUAAGAAUCUGUGCUUCCUCCCCCCCCCCCCCAAUUGAUAUUUCACACAAAACACAGCUAAAUAAAAG